GGCUACUCUACAUAUGAGGUGAAGGCCUGAGAGCAUAGCAAACAGAGCAUAGCGGACAGGGAUAGCAAACAGGACGUAGGAGUUUAGCAGGAGUUUAGCGGGAAGUGUGCGGGGGAGCCUGGAACAAGCCCCUGAGAUCACAAGGAGCCUGGUGGAGAAGAGAACGAACACAGAAACAUAGUGCAAAGCUCUUGAGGUGAUUUCCUGGAGGAGAUAUUUGGAGAGAUGCUGGUUUGUCAAGUAAAUGAGAAAACGGAAAGGCAGCUGCUGGCAGAGGGAAGCCUGCCCUUGGCCAAAACUGUAGAACUGGCAGGAACAAAGGAAGCAGCAGUUAGAACCCUGCAGGAUCCACAUCGGAAAAGAAGGAAAUUCAGACAGAUGCGAGAAAUCAAGUAGGGAGCUCACGAGGAAAGGUUCAAGCCUCAGACAGGGGCUCUCACUGUGGAGGAGCCUCCUUUCAUUCAUCUUCCUUUGAUAAGAAAAACAUGUGAAGUCUAAGAACAGGGCCCUGAGUCAGAAAAUAUCAAGGGGCUCUCAGUAACAUGCCACCGAGCGAGAGAGAUCCUCUCCAUGCCAGAGAAAAUGGAAGGAUAAGAAUUGUAGUAGCUGGAGUUUGCAGUGUGAAGUCAAAAAGCAAACAUUUAUCAUGGACCCCCAGUGGAAGAAUGGAACAGGCAGAAAAAUAUAUGAAAGGCCAGCAGAAAUAUUUUCAUGUUUCUUGGGACAUGAAACAAAUUAGAUCCUCACUGUUUUCACUUUCUAAACAUCAUAUUAAAGUAACACAUAUGUGACAGCUACUUCCAUGAAUGACCAUCUCCAACGUUACACUUUUACAACAUUUUUAGCAUUACACUCGCCAACUAAAUUUAAGUUGAGGGGCGGUCUUACAGAAUUCCAGUUGAAUUGUGCGGCACCAGAACUGGAUGUUGCCAAUGCACCAUCUGGUCUUGUGAUAUUGGAUGGUUUUCAGACUGUAUUGCCUGAGGUGGUGGACAGGCUGCUUGGAAGGCUGAGGCCUACCACAUGCGUCCUCAACCCUUGCCAUGGGUCCAUG
This is a long non-coding RNA of Hemicordylus capensis (graceful crag lizard), 1054 nucleotides long. RefSeq lists it as uncharacterized. NCBI's taxonomy places the organism in Eukaryota, Metazoa, Chordata, Lepidosauria, Squamata, Cordylidae. The record is from RefSeq and is a predicted model, not a curated record. The transcript has 3 exons.